RNAcentral lists this ribosomal RNA (449 nucleotides) under uncultured bacterium. RNAcentral's name for it is "bacterial SSU rRNA". It matches the Rfam family "Bacterial small subunit ribosomal RNA", at positions 355 to 796 of the family's 1533-position model. The record is from RNAcentral.
UGGGGAAUAUUGCACAAUGGGCGCAAGCCUGAUGCAGCCAUGCCGCGUGUAUGAAGAAGGCCUUCGGGUUGUAAAGUACUUUCAGCGGGGAGGAAGGGAGUAAAGUUAAUACCUUUGCUCAUUGACGUUACCCGCAGAAGAAGCACCGGCUAACUCCGUGCCAGCAGCCGCGGUAAUACGGAGGGUGCAAGCGUUAAUCGGAAUUACUGGGCGUAAAGCGCACGCAGGCGGUUUGUUAAGUCAGAUGUGAAAUCCCCGGGCUCAACCUGGGAACUGCAUCUGAUACUGGCAAGCUUGAGUCUCGUAGAGGGGGGUAGAAUUCCAGGUGUAGCGGUGAAAUGCGUAGAGAUCUGGAGGAAUACCGGUGGCGAAGGCGGCCCCCUGGACGAAGACUGACGCUCAGGUGCGAAAGCGUGGGGAGCAAACAGGAUUAGAUACCCCCGUAGUCC